This 497-nucleotide ribosomal RNA is filed under the name uncultured bacterium. RNAcentral describes it as "partial 16S ribosomal RNA". It matches the Rfam family "Bacterial small subunit ribosomal RNA", at positions 28 to 507 of the family's 1533-position model. The record is from RNAcentral.
GACGAACGCUGGCGGCGUGCUUAACACAUGCAAGUCGAACGGUGAAGCGCCUUCCUUUCUGGUGGGUGUGGAUGAGUGGCGAACGGGUGAGUAACACGUGAGUAACCUGCCCCCUUCUUCUUGAUAACCGCAUGAAAGUGUGGCUAAUACGGGAUAUUCUGGGUCUGUUGCAUGAUUGGUCUGGGAAAGAUUUUGUUUCGGUGGGGGAUGGGCCCGCGGCCGAUUAGCUUGUUGGUGGGGUGAUGGCCUACCAAGGCAGAGGUGGGUAGCCGGCCUGAGAGGGUGGUGGACGGUCACAGGAAGACUGAAACACGGCCGAGACUCCGGGGGGAGGCAGCAGGGGGGAAUAUUGCAAAGGGGGAGCGAGCCUGAUGCAGCGACGCCGCGUGAGGGAUGGAGGCCUUCGGGUUGUGAACCUCUUUCGCGAGUGAAGCAGGCCUGCAUCGUUUGUGGGUGGGUUGACGGUAGCUUGAUAAGAAGCGCCGGCUAACUACGUG